Molecule: long non-coding RNA, 1265 nt
Organism: Apodemus sylvaticus (European woodmouse)
Lineage: Eukaryota; Metazoa; Chordata; Mammalia; Rodentia; Muridae
Exons: 3
Source: RefSeq, a predicted model, not a curated record
GAGGUAGGGAGGGGUGCCGUAGCGUCAUCAUGAGCUUCUGAACCCAGUCCUUCAGCUGCGGAGAGAUAACCGCAUCAGCCAGCCCUCAUGUGCGUGGGCACCACCAUUCCUGCGCACCGCUGUCGCCGUGGGCGCUCACCCAACUCAGCCCACUCAGGCAGGGAGAAAGGCUCCCGCUGACAGUAGCCACUCAACAACUCAUGGAGAUCUAGGCCCAGCAGCCUCUGAGGCUGUGCACAUGAAUGCUGGAGCCCUCCGAGGCCAGAAAAGGGUGUUGGAUGCCUGGAGCUGGAGUUACAGACACUUGUGAGCCGCCCCACGUGGGCGCUGGCAUCCCGCCAAAUGUGGGUGCUCCGGAAGAGCAGUGCGAGGCCCCCAAGCACUGGGCCCCUGAGCAAGCUCCGCCCUCUUCGGCUGCUUUCCGUUUGGUGUUUUAGAGACAGCCAUAGCAAGCAGGUUCUGGCCUUGUUUCAUUUUUGCCACAUAGUACAGGUCAGCCUCGAACUCACAUCCCUCACACUUCAGUCUGGAAUACUGAGACUGCAGGUCUGCACCACCAUGCCUGGCUUAAAUAAUGUGAUUUAAAGGUUUAAAUUUAUUUUGGAGUGAAGGUUUCAGGUGUGUGUAUUGGGAGUGGGGUGUGUUCACAGGCGUGCGGUGCCCGUGGAGGCCGGAGGCACUGGUUGUGCCCACCAGGCAUGGCAGCUGGGAACCAAAACCCAGGUCCUCUCCAAGAGCAGCAGCUGCCCUUGAUCAGAGUGACCUCUCCAGGCCUGGGAUUUCAACAUGCAAAGCACACGCUCCAACACUGAGCUCUACACUAAGGGAAGUCCGCCAGUGACAAAUCAACUAGUGAUGCCUGACUCCGGCCGUCAUCUGAGGAGCCCAGAAUAGUCGAUCCCGAGGGGGAAGAUGCAGACGGAGUAUGGCUGCCGGGACUGGAGGAGGAGGGAGUAGAGAGUGGGUAUCUGGAGAGCACGGGUUUUAGUUCUGUAAGAAGACGGGUUCUGAGCAGUGCUGGUGUUUGCUCAACAGCACAGGCUUAACACCUGGGAUGUUCAAAAUGGAGAGGCAGGGCCGGUGCAGGGGAGCUCGGUGGAUGAGGCCCAACAUGCAUGAGACCCGGGGUUCUGUUCCCCAGCGUAUGGACACUGAUGGACACGCACACGCAUGCACACACACACAGAGUACAGAGAGGAAUAGAGAGGGGUGAAGAUACUAAGUUAUGUAUAUUCAAACACAAUCUUAAAAAACAUGGAAAUCUA